This 315-nucleotide long non-coding RNA is filed under the name Brassica rapa (field mustard). Its description in RNAcentral is "long non-coding RNA (BRAP_LNC002315)". Lineage: Eukaryota; Viridiplantae; Streptophyta; Magnoliopsida; Brassicales; Brassicaceae. The record is from RNAcentral.
ACUUAUUCUGCUGGACACGUGUUGACGUAACAAUGCGAAAAAUCCAAUUAAUUUCUUCGUUUAAUCAUAUACCGAAUCUUUUUUCAUUGGUGCUAAAUGCUGAGAGUUGAGAAUAAAUACAAAGAUGGAAUAUGCCGAAUUUUAUUAAAAUAGUAAUAAAUAUAUCAGCCACCCAUAAAAGAAAGUCCAAAUAUUUAGAUCCCCCAAAACAUACACUCAGCACAGAAGAUUUGGUUCUAAGAAAAUCCGAGUGGUGAUUUUGUAAGACCACGAUCGUAGACCGUCUGUGUAGUCUCCAGUCAGGCUCAUGCUUUU